This is a long non-coding RNA of Corvus hawaiiensis (hawaiian crow), 645 nucleotides long. RefSeq lists it as uncharacterized. Lineage: Eukaryota; Metazoa; Chordata; Aves; Passeriformes; Corvidae. The record is from RefSeq and is a predicted model, not a curated record. The transcript has 4 exons.
GCCGCCGGGAGCGCCCCCCACCCCAGAAAUGAGCCAUUUACGGGGAUUUUGGCGUCUUCUUGCAAAUCAAAAAAAAAAAAAAAACAAAAAAAAUGGUGCGAGGAAAACAAUACGGGUAUAGCUGGGCUGUAAGGCUCCUGGCGGGGCAGGCAGCGGCGGAGCGGGCUCCCGACGGCUUCGGCCCGCCGUCCCGGCUCCCCCGCGCCCGGGGCAGAGCGUCCCGAGCCAGGGGCGGGCGAGGCGGCAGAGAGUGCUCGCCCUCCGCGCCUCCGGGGCCGCCGCAGGAACCAACAAUGUUUCAGAAGGCUGAGGGCCUCUGACAGCUGCUGCAGAGAGGAACUACCACCAUUAAUGUAUCUCAUGCCAUCCAGUCAUGAGGGGAAGAAUGGUGGUUGCAAAUGAUAACCAGCAUGAUUAGAACCACCCAUUGAAGAGAUUAAGAAACUGCAAAUGCUACGGCCAUCUCCAGCACUGUUGGGAGAAAAUACCCCAUGAGAAGAGAUGUUAGAGAUAAAUUUACCUUUAAAUUCUUAUAUCCAACUUAACCCGAAAUAAUCCAGAGCCUUGGAAAUGUUCUUGGAAAGAAAAGGAUUUCUCUACAUCUGAGAACUGCUUUCAGAAAUGUCAGGAAUGAAAUCUCCGAAA